Molecule: ribosomal RNA, 494 nt
Filed under: uncultured bacterium
Lineage: Bacteria
Description: partial 16S ribosomal RNA
Rfam family: Bacterial small subunit ribosomal RNA
Source: RNAcentral
GACGAACGCUGGCGGCGUGCUUAACACAUGCAAGUCGAACGGUGAAGCGCCUUCCUUUUUGGUGGGUGUGGAUGAGUGGCGAACGGGUGAGUAACACGUGAGUAACCUGCCCCCUUCUUCUGGAUAACCGCAUGAAAGUGUGGCUAAUACGGGAUAUUCUGGGUCUGUCGCAUGAUGGGUCUGGGAAAGAUAUUGUUUCGGUGGGGGAUGGGCUCGCGGCCUAUCAGCUUGUUGGUGGGGUGAUGGCCUACCAAGGCGGUGACGGGUAGCCGGCCUGAGAGGGUGGACGGUCACACUGGGACUGAGACACGGCCCAGACUCCUACGGGAGGCAGCAGUGGGGAAUAUUGCAUAAUGGGCGCAAGCCUGAUGCAGCGACGCCGCGUGAGGGAUGGAGGCCUUCGGGUUGUGAACCUCUUUCGCCAGUGAAGCAGGCCUGCCUAGUUUGUGGGUGGGUUGACGGUAGCUGGAUAAGAAGCGCCGGCUAACUACGUG